Molecule: ribosomal RNA, 253 nt
Filed under: uncultured bacterium
Lineage: Bacteria
Description: partial 16S ribosomal RNA
Rfam family: Bacterial small subunit ribosomal RNA
Source: RNAcentral
UACGAAGGGGGCUAGCGUUGUUCGGAAUUACUGGGCGUAAAGGGCGCGUAGGCGGUGUGUCAAGUCAGGCGUGAAAGCCCCGGGCUCAACCUGGGAACCGCGCUUGAGACUGGCACGCUAGAGUUCGGGAGAGGAUGGUGGAAUUCUCGGUGUAGCGGUGAAAUGCGCAGAUAUCGGGUGGAACACCAGUGGCGAAGGCGGUGCUCUGGGCCGGAACUGACGCUGAAUGGCGAAAGCGUGGGUAGCAAACAGG